This 456-nucleotide ribosomal RNA is filed under the name uncultured bacterium. Its description in RNAcentral is "bacterial SSU rRNA". It matches the Rfam family "Bacterial small subunit ribosomal RNA", at positions 62 to 543 of the family's 1533-position model. The record is from RNAcentral.
UCGAACGGACGUAGCAAUACGUCAGUGGCGGACGGGUGAGUAAUGUAUCGCUAAUGUACCCCUGAGUCAGGGAUAGCCAGCCGAAAGGCUGGGUAAUACCUGAUAAAACAACCUGGUCGCAUGACCGGGUUUUCAAAGGAGCAAUCCGCUCUAGGAGCAGGCGAUAUCGUAUCAGCUUGUUGGUGAGGUAACGGCUCACCAAGGCGACGACGCGUAGCUGGUCUGAGAGGACGGCCAGCCACAUCGGGACUGAGACACUGCCCGGACUCCUACGGGGGGCUGCAGUAACGAAUCUUCCGCAAUGCACGAAAGUGUGACGGAGCGACGCCGCGUGUGGGACGAAGCCCUUCGGGGUGUAAACCACUGUCAGGGGUUACCAAGUUCUGAGGAGCCCCAGAGGAAGGCACGGCUAACUCUGUGCCAGCAGCCGCGGUAAGACAGAGGUGCCGAGCGUUA